Long non-coding RNA from Anguilla rostrata (American eel), 1383 nucleotides. RefSeq lists it as uncharacterized. The record is from RefSeq and is a predicted model, not a curated record. The transcript has 3 exons. NCBI's taxonomy places the organism in Eukaryota, Metazoa, Chordata, Actinopteri, Anguilliformes, Anguillidae.
GCUAAUGUCUUGUGUGCAGCCAUGCUACAAUCCACACCACCACUCCCAUUCUUUGGGGGACAUCUUUGUUUUUGCUGGUCUAGCCCAUGCUUCUGACUGGCUUCUGUUUGAAUUGGAAUUCACUUAUCCCAAAACGGUGAGAGAGAGAAACAUGGAGAUACCUUCAGAGUAACUAACCUGGGAAACAACCUGGGUCUACUUCCACUGGCUAACACUAAGGUUUUACUUUCCCACCACCACCCCCCCUCUUUGGAGGACAACUGUUAUCAAUGGCCUGGCCUGAUCCAGGAAUCCUCAGUUUCCACUGCAUCCAUUGCCCUUAGAAGCCUCUUAUCCCACGUCCACUGACAGCCAUGAAGACACUUCACCAACCCAGAAAGGCAGGAACUGCAAGUGGGACGGCUAGCCGCUUUCCGCUAGCUGCCUAGCAAGCAAGCAAUGUUCUUAAUCACAGGAGUGUUAAAAUUGGGUUAAAUGACGUAGCGUUAUCCUUUAACCUGGGCGUUUUGUGUUUUUGCGACUUGCUUUCAUUCCAAUAAAGGAUUUGCACUCAUUCAAUAAAUGUGUGGAUCCAUUGUUUAUUGAUUUGCACGUUGGCAAUGUACGUGCGUGAAGCGGCUAGUACAUCACAAACUUUUUUAUAUGAAUGAUGUUAUUACAUUAAAGGUUGAAAUAUUAUAUGUCAAAAUUCCUGCGAUAGAUUGGUGGCCUGUCCAGGGUGUAAUCCUGCCUCUCGCCCAGUGCACAGCAGGAUAGACUCCAGCACCCCCCGCGACCCUGACCAGGAUAAACACCCGUAUCCGAUGGAUGGAUGGAUGUCAGAUUACUUUAAGAAUUAAGUAAAUUAAAUUUGCCACAAUGUUGGAAGCAUUUCAGUGAGCAGGUGCCCACAUAUUCAGCAGUUGGGACCACUCUUACAUCUCCUUUCAUUCUAUAAUCAGUUAAAUGUAACCUGAUUCUAAAGGAGUCAUUUACUCUCAAACAUGUUAAGGAAGAUCAAAAUAUGUUGUGUGUGGUCAAAAGGCAUGGGAUUUCUUACAUGAUGUAGCUUCAGAAGGUAAACGAUCCCUCAAUCAUUAAAAGCCUCUUAAUUUCUCUAAGGUAUGUCUACCUAUUAAGCCCACUUACCUAUACAUCUCAUUUCUGUUUUUGGAGUUCAGUAGAGAAAAGUCUUUUUCUCUUUGGCUGCUUAACAUCUUGGGCAAUUCAUAUUUUUGUAUCCAUUGAGUACAUUUAUUAUUAUUUACUUUUCUAUUUUUUUCUAUUCUCCACCUCCCUCACAUAUGUGUGUGUGUGUGUAGAACAAGAGAUUACACAAAACAAAUAUCUUUUAUUUCUGAUAAAAAGAUGGGUUUUCUGAGACACGUAAAAUGGCAGCUUAAU